This 231-nucleotide ribosomal RNA is filed under the name Triticum aestivum (bread wheat). RNAcentral's name for it is "partial small subunit ribosomal RNA". The record is from RNAcentral. Lineage: Eukaryota; Viridiplantae; Streptophyta; Magnoliopsida; Poales; Poaceae.
AUGGGCCCUAUUGAUAUUCUUGAGUUUUUUAUGAAGCGCCCUUUCUAUCCUAAAGCUACUAUAGCAUACACGAUUUUGUUAACCUUUUUUGUGACAGUUACCUAUGUGGAAAAGAGCUUUUAUAAUCUCAUGUUGUUAAAAUCCUACUUGCAUUCUACUAUGACACAAGAAAAACUCGAUGGUUUGACGACAAUAGCACUUGAGAAUGAGAAGAUUAAUAUGAAGAUAUAA